CAGACACAUAACACUUACUAACUGUGUGACCCUGGAAGGAAACUCUCGUAACAAAUAUGGAUUGUUGGACAACAGAAAUUCCCAUGCUGACCAUGUUAAAAAAAGCCAUAGGCCUUUUUUCUGCAUCUGAGUUCAUCACUUCCCUGUCAAGAGGCAAACAACUACCAUGAAGACAGAACUCACAUACCUGGUUUGUGCAGGAUCAUCUUUGCUUGCCAUUUUUGGGUAUGUUUGGAAAUUGGAGGCAUUUCUUUAUGAAGAAAGGAAGAUGUACCAUGAAUAAAUUAUAUGUUACAUAAAAUAAUUAAGACAAGGUAUCACAAAAAGAUGAUUAAUAUACUGAAAUAAAUCUUAUGAUUCUAGCACAGUAAAUACAAAAUGAAAUUACAUUGAAUACAAGUUAUAUGUCAUCUGUAGGAAAUAUAACUUGACAUUUCCUAUAUGGGGCAUUCAAAGACACCUAAUAUGUGUUAUAGUCAUAUUAAAAUUAUAACACACUUGUUACUUUUAAAAUGUCAAAAUAUCCAUUUAUGUAUUAUUUCCUUUGAUGAAUUCCAGAUGUCCCCAUUUGAAGUAUGGAAAAUAA
Phascolarctos cinereus (koala) is the source of this 586-nucleotide long non-coding RNA. RefSeq lists it as uncharacterized. Lineage: Eukaryota; Metazoa; Chordata; Mammalia; Diprotodontia; Phascolarctidae. The record is from RefSeq and is a predicted model, not a curated record.